Molecule: ribosomal RNA, 523 nt
Filed under: Phomopsis sp. 57
Lineage: Eukaryota; Fungi; Ascomycota; Sordariomycetes; Diaporthales; Diaporthaceae
Description: eukaryotic LSU rRNA
Rfam family: 5.8S ribosomal RNA (bases 204-357)
Source: RNAcentral
GAUUGGUGAACCAGCGGAGGGAUCAUUGCUGGAACGCGCCCCAGGCGCACCCAGAAACCCUUUGUGAACUUAUACCUUACUGUUGCCUCGGCGCAUGCCGGCCCCCCUGGGGGCCCCUCCUUCUGGAGGAGCAGGCACGCCGGCGGCCAACCUAACUCUUGUUUUUACACUGAAACUCUGAGAAUAAAACAUAAAUGAAUCAAAACUUUCAACAACGGAUCUCUUGGUUCUGGCAUCGAUGAAGAACGCAGCGAAAUGCGAUAAGUAAUGUGAAUUGCAGAAUUCAGUGAAUCAUCGAAUCUUUGAACGCACAUUGCGCCCUCUGGUAUUCCGGAGGGCAUGCCUGUUCGAGCGUCAUUUCAACCCUCAAGCCUGGCUUGGUGAUGGGGCACUGCCUGUAAAAGGGCAGGCCCUGAAAUUCAGUGGCGAGCUCGCCAGGACCCCGAGCGCAGUAGUUAAACCCUCGCUCUGGAAGGCCCUGGCGGUGCCCUGCCGUUAAACCCCCAACUUCUGAAAAUUUGAC